AGAGUUUGAUCAUGGCUCAGGAUGAACGCUGGCGGCGUGCCUAACACAUGCAAGUCGAACGGGGUUAUUUAGGAAAUUUCCUUCGGGGAAUGGAAUCUUUAACCUAGUGGCGGACGGGUGAGUAACGCGUGAGCAAUCUGCCUUCGGAUGGGGGAUAACAGCCGGAAACGGCUGCUAAUACCGCAUAACACAUGGGAUCCGCAUGUUUCCCAUGUCAAAGAUUUAUCGUCCGGAGAUGAGCUCGCGUCUGAUUAGCUGGUUGGCGGGGUAACGGCCCACCAAGGCGACGAUCAGUAGCCGGACUGAGAGGUUGAACGGCCACAUUGGGACUGAGACACGGCCCAGACUCCUACGGGAGGCAGCAGUGGGGAAUAUUGCGCAAUGGGGGCAACCCUGACGCAGCAACGCCGCGUGAUUGAAGAAGGCCUUCGGGUUGUAAAGAUCUUUAAUCGGGGACGAAUUUUGACGGUACCUGAAGAAUAAGCUCCGGCUAACUACGUGCCAGCAGCCGCGGUAAUACGUANGGAGCAAGCGUUAUCCGGAUUUACUGGGUGUAAAGGGCGUGU
RNAcentral lists this ribosomal RNA (566 nucleotides) under uncultured bacterium. RNAcentral's name for it is "bacterial SSU rRNA". It matches the Rfam family "Bacterial small subunit ribosomal RNA", at positions 8 to 572 of the family's 1533-position model. The record is from RNAcentral.